UUGAACGCUGGCGGCAGGCCUAACCCAUGCAAGUCGAGCGGAUGAAGGGAGCUUGCUCCUGGAUUCAGCGGCGGACGGGUGAGUAAUGCCUAGGAAUCUGCCUGGUAGUGGGGGAUAACGUCCGGAAACGGGCGCUAAUACCGUAUACGUCCUGAGGGAGAAAGUGGGGGAUCUUCGGACCUCACGCUAUCAGAUGAGCCUAGGUCGGAUUAGCUAGUUGGUGGGGUAAAGGCCUACCAAGGCGACGAUCCGUAACUGGUCUGAGAGGAUGAUCAGUCACACUGGAACUGAGACACGGUCCAGACUCCUACGGGAGGCAGCAGUGGGGAAUAUUGGACAAUGGGCGAAAGCCUGAUCCAGCCAUGCCGCGUGUGUGAAGAAGGUCUUCGGAUUGUAAAGCACUUUAAGUUGGGAGGAAGGGCAGUAAGUUAAUACCUUGCUGUUUUGACGUUACCAACAGAAUAAGCACCGGCUAACUUCGUG
This 483-nucleotide ribosomal RNA is filed under the name uncultured bacterium. RNAcentral's name for it is "partial 16S ribosomal RNA". It matches the Rfam family "Bacterial small subunit ribosomal RNA", at positions 30 to 507 of the family's 1533-position model. The record is from RNAcentral.